GACGAACGCUGGCGGCGUGCUUAACACAUGCAAGUCGAACGGAAAGGCCUUUUCGGAGGUACUCGAGUGGCGAACGGGUGAGUAACACGUGGGUGAUCUGCCCUGCACUCUGGGAUAAGCCUGGGAAACUGGGUCUAAUACCGGAUAGGACUGCACUUUAGUGUGUGUGGUGGAAAGUUUGUUCGGUGUAGGAUGAGCCCGCGGCCUAUCAGCUUGUUGGUGGGGUAAUGGCCUACCAAGGCGGCGACGGGUAGCCGGACUGAGAGGUUGGUCGGCCACAUUGGGACUGAGAUACGGCCCAGACUCCUACGGGAGGCAGCAGUGGGGAAUAUUGCACAAUGGGCGCAAGCCUGAUGCAGCGACGCCGCGUGGGGGGUGACGGCCUUCGGGUUGUAAACUCCUUUCGCCAGGGACGAAGCGUUUUGUGACGGUACCUGGAGAAGAAGCACCGGCUAACUACGUGCCAGCAGCCGCGGUAAUACGUAGGGUGCAAGCGUUGUCCGGAAUUACUGGGCGUAAAGAGCUCGUAGGUGGUUUGUCACGUCGUCUGUGAAAUUCCACAGCUUAACUGUGGGCGUGCAGGCGAUACGGGCUGACUUGAGUACUGUAGGGGUAACUGGAAUUCCUGGUGUAGCGGUGAAAUGCGCAGAUAUCAGGAGGAACACCGAUGGCGAAGGCAGGUUACUGGGCAGUUACUGACGCUGAGGAGCGAAAGCAUGGGUAGCAAACAGG
This 732-nucleotide ribosomal RNA is filed under the name uncultured Corynebacterium sp. RNAcentral describes it as "bacterial SSU rRNA". It matches the Rfam family "Bacterial small subunit ribosomal RNA", at positions 28 to 776 of the family's 1533-position model. The record is from RNAcentral. Lineage: Bacteria; Bacillati; Actinomycetota; Actinomycetes; Mycobacteriales; Corynebacteriaceae.